UGAGAUGUGACUUGCUCCUCCUUGCCUUCUGCCAUGAUUGUGAGGCUUCCCCAGUCACGUCGAACUGAUUCUCAUGAGGACAAAUUAGAGCACAUGUCACUAUAGCCAGCACUCAAGAAAUGGGAUUAUCACCAGAGGGAAAAAUGCACAGCCUCACCAGCUAUUAAACAUAUGGAAAUGAUGACAAUUUAAAGCUUAUAAAUAACAUUAGCGGUGGCUUGGAUUUAUUGUUGUGGCCUCUGGAAGAACUUG
This is a long non-coding RNA of Gorilla gorilla gorilla (western lowland gorilla), 252 nucleotides long. RefSeq lists it as uncharacterized. The transcript has 3 exons. NCBI's taxonomy places the organism in Eukaryota, Metazoa, Chordata, Mammalia, Primates, Hominidae. The record is from RefSeq and is a predicted model, not a curated record.